Molecule: ribosomal RNA, 468 nt
Filed under: uncultured bacterium
Lineage: Bacteria
Description: partial 16S ribosomal RNA
Rfam family: Bacterial small subunit ribosomal RNA
Source: RNAcentral
GACGAACGCUGGCGGCGUGCUUAACACAUGCAAGUCGAACGGUAAGGCCGUGCUUGCGUGGGGUGCUCGAGUGGCACAGGGGUGAGUAACACGUGUGUAACGCGCUUUAGACUUUGGUAUAAGUUGAAGACGCUGGGGAUAAUCCCGGACAGGCGGUGCCCCUACAUGGAUCGGGUUGGAAGUUUUCGUCGGUUGGGGUUGGACCCGCGGCUUACCAGCUAGUUGGUGGGGUAGUGGCUUACCAAGGGACUGCCGGGUAGCCGGCCUGAGAGGGUGACCGGCCACAUUGGGACUGAGAGACGGCCCAGACUCCUACGGGAGGCAGCAGUGGGGAAUAUUGCACAAUGGGCGCAAGCCUGAUGCAGCAACGCCGCGUGCGGGAUGACGGCCUUCGGGUUGUAAACCGCUUUCGGUUGUGAAGAAGCGUGAGUGACGGUACCUGGAGAAGAAGCACCGGCUAACUACGUG